Molecule: unclassified non-coding RNA, 480 nt
Filed under: Candidatus Bartonella washoeensis
Lineage: Bacteria; Pseudomonadati; Pseudomonadota; Alphaproteobacteria; Hyphomicrobiales; Bartonellaceae
Description: Bartonella washoeensis miscellaneous RNA
Rfam family: tRNA (bases 142-215)
Source: RNAcentral
UCUUCAGAUGAUGAUCCCAAGCCUUCUGGCGAUCUAGAAAAACAAGCCUUAACUUUAGGCUUUCGGAAAACAUUUUUGUUUUUAUAAAAUGAUGUGUUUUUAUGAGAUUAUGCCGGGGAAGGUUUUCCGGUUUAUCCCGGAGGGCUUGUAGCUCAGUUGGUUAGAGCGCGCGCUUGAUAAGCGUGAGGUCGGAGGUUCAAGUCCUCCCAGGCCCACCAAUUACUCCAUCUAUUUACUUUAUCUGUUUCUUUAUUCAGGAGCGGAUAACAGUUUUAUAAAAGGAUUAUGGCGCUUAUCUCUUUUGCUUAAGCACUUCAAAGUUCACCCAGUGCAAAUGUAAAGCGAUGCGAAUUUGCUACAAAUUUGCACUGUCUAUUUUAACAGUUAGAGCAUAUUUAACAUUUUGAAAUCCUUUAUCCUGUUUUAGGGGCCGUAGCUCAGCUGGGAGAGCACCUGCUUUGCAAGCAGGGGGUCGUCGGU